AGUCCUAUGGUCUAGUGGUAUGACGUUCGCUUCACACUUAAGUGAAGUUCAAGCUUCUCGAAAGCGCGAAAGGUCCUGGGUUCGAUCCCCAGUGGGACUA
Molecule: non-coding RNA, 100 nt
Organism: Delitschia confertaspora ATCC 74209
Lineage: Eukaryota; Fungi; Ascomycota; Dothideomycetes; Pleosporales; Delitschiaceae
Source: the annotation of a GenBank genome assembly